This 1469-nucleotide ribosomal RNA is filed under the name metagenome. RNAcentral describes it as "bacterial SSU rRNA". It matches the Rfam family "Bacterial small subunit ribosomal RNA". The record is from RNAcentral.
AGAGUUUGAUCCUGGCUCAGAUUGAACGCUGGCGGCAUGGCUAAAACAUGCAAGUCGAACGCGAAAGCACUUCGGUGCAAGUAGAGUGGCGAAAGGGCGAGGAAUAAGUACCUAACGUGCCUUCAGGUAAGGGAUAGCUCAUGGAAACGUGUGGUAAUACCUUAUAAUCUCAUUGCUCCAUAUGGAGUUUUGAGCAAAGGCUUGCUGUCUGAAGAUCGGGGUACUUCCUAUCAGCUUGUUGGUGAGGUAACGGCUCACCAAGGCGAAGACGGGUAGCUGGUGUGAGAGCACGACCAGCCGCAUCGGGACUGAGACACUGCCCGGACUCCUACGGGAGGCUGCAGUAACGAAUAUUCCGCAAUGCGCGAAAGCGUGACGGAGCAAUGCCGCGUGUGGGAUGAAGCAUCUAGGUGUGUAAACCACUGUCAGGGUUUAGGAAACAAAUGACCAGACCCAAAGGAAGAGCCGGCUAACUCUGUGCCAGCAGCCGCGGUAAUACAGAGGGCUCAAGCGUUAAUCGGAAUCACUGGGCUUAAAGGGUCCGCAGGCGGAUCGGUAAGUAUCUUGUGAAAUACCAUGGCUCAACCAUGGAAUUGCUCGGUAAACUGCCAAUCUUGAACACGGUAGGGGCCAUCGGAACUCUAGGUGGAGCGGUGAAAUGCGUAGAUAUCUAGAGGAACGCCAGAGGCGAAGGCGGAUGGCUGGGCCGUUGUUGACGCUCAGGGACGAAAGCAUGGGUAGCGAACGGGAUUAGAUACCCCGGUAGUCCAUGCCCUAAACGAUGUGCACUAGGUCGCGGAGGGUUUGACCCCAUCGCGGCUGAAGUUAAAAUAUUAAGUGCACCGCCUGGGGAGUACGGUCGCAAGGCUAAAACUCAAAGGAAUUGACGGGGGCUCACACAAGCGGUGGAGCAUGUGGCUUAAUUCGAAACAACGCGAAGAACCUUAUCCAGGGCUUGACAUGUAUGGAUUAUUGAUCCGAAAGGUGAUAGACGCUCUCUGAGUGGAACAUACACAGGUGCUGCAUGGCUGUCGUCAGCUCGUGCUGUGAAGUGUCGGGUUAAGUCCCUUAACGAGCGAAACCCCUAUCCCUAGUUGCCAGCGAGUCAUGUCGGGGACUCUAGGGAGACUGCCGGCGUCAAGCCGGAGGAAGGUGGGGAUGACGUCAAGUCCUCAUGGCCUUUAUGCCCUGGGCUGCACACGUGCUACAAUGGUAUCGACAGAGCGACGCAAAGCGGCGACGUGGAGCAAAUCGCACAAACGAUGCCUCAGUUCGGAUUGUAGUCUGCAACUCGACUACAUGAAGUUGGAAUCGCUAGUAAUCGCGUAUCAGCAACGACGCGGUGAAUAAGUUCCUGAGCCUUGUACACACCGCCCGUCACGUCAUGGGAGCCGGGAGCACCCGAAGUAGCCACAACUCAGUGGUUCCUACGGUGAGCUCGGUGACUGGGACGAAGUCGAAACAAGGUA